UCAGUUCGGAUUGGAGGCUGAAACCCGCCUCCAUGAAGUUGGAUUCGCUAGUAAUCGCGCAUCAGCCAUGGCGCGGUGAAUACGUUCCCGGGCCUUGUACACACCGCCCGUCAAGCCAUGGGAGCCGGGGGUGCCUGAAGUUCGUUACCGCAAGGAUCGACCUAGGGCAAAACUGGUGACUGGGGCUAAGUCGUAACAAGGUACC
Molecule: ribosomal RNA, 205 nt
Filed under: uncultured bacterium
Lineage: Bacteria
Description: partial 16S ribosomal RNA
Rfam family: Bacterial small subunit ribosomal RNA
Source: RNAcentral